This 270-nucleotide ribosomal RNA is filed under the name uncultured archaeon. RNAcentral describes it as "partial 16S ribosomal RNA". It matches the Rfam family "Archaeal small subunit ribosomal RNA", at positions 477 to 747 of the family's 1478-position model. The record is from RNAcentral.
CAGCGUCACAAGUGGCAACCGUAUUUAUUGGGUCUAAAGCGUCCGUAGCCUGUUUGAUAAGUCUUUUGUGAAAUCGUUGCGCUUACGUAACGCUGUGCAAGAGAUACUGUCAGACUUGGAAUUGGGAAGAGUCAGAGGUAUUCUGGGGGGAGCGGUAAAAUGCUAUAAUCCUCAGAGGACCACCAGUGGCGAAAGCGUCUGACUAGAACAACUUCGACGGUGAGGGACGAAAGCCAGGGGAGCAAAACGGAUUAGAUACCCGAGUAGUCC